GGCGCAAGCCUGAUGGAGCAACACCGCGUGAGUGAAGAAGGGUUUCGGCUCGUAAAGCUCUGUUGUUGGAGAAGAACGUGCGUGAGAGUAACUGUUCACGCAGUGACGGUAUCCAACCAGAAAGUCACGGCUAACUACGUGCCAGCAGCCGCGGUAAUACGUAGGUGGCAAGCGUUAUCCGGAUUUAUUGGGCGUAAAGCGAGCGCAGGCGGUUGCUUAGGUCUGAUGUGAAAGCCUUCGGCUUAACCGAAGAAGGGCAUCGGAAACCGGGCGACUUGAGUGCAGAAGAGGACAGUGGAACUCCAUGUGUAGCGGUGGAAUGCGUAGAUAUAUGGAAGAACACCAGUGGCGAAGGCGGCUGUCUGGUCUGCAACUGACGCUGAGGCUCGAAAGCAUGGGUAGCGAACAGGAUUAGAUACCCUGGUAGUCCAUGCCGUAAACGAUGAGUGCUAGGUGUUGGAGGGUUUCCGCCCUUCAGUGCCGGAGCUAACGCAUUAAGCACUCCGCCUGGGGAGUACGACCGCAAGGUUGAAACUCAAAGGAAUUGACGGGGGCCCGCACAAGCGGUGGAGCAUGUGGUUUAAUUCGAAGCUACGCGAAGAACCUUACCAGGUCUUGACAUCUUGCGCUAACCUAAGAGAUUAGGCGUU
Molecule: ribosomal RNA, 650 nt
Filed under: Limosilactobacillus vaginalis
Lineage: Bacteria; Bacillati; Bacillota; Bacilli; Lactobacillales; Lactobacillaceae
Description: bacterial SSU rRNA
Rfam family: Bacterial small subunit ribosomal RNA
Source: RNAcentral